AUGUUCUUUCCUCCUGAAAAAAGUUUUCCUUGGGCAGGCUCUGAUUCAGCUAGGUGUUUAAUGCAUUAUGCAGGUGUCUGUAUGAAGAGGGACACAAACUCCCUAGUGACACUCAGGCUGCCUACACAGGAUCUGUGAUGGAGAACAUGGAGCUUGGACUGGAGGCAUCUCCUGAGGGUCACCAGGAAGAUCUGAUCAGGCAUAAAUGGCAAGCAGCAAAUUAUAAACUGAAGCUGUGUAUCCAAACAAGCAAGAAAAGAGCGUCUCAAGAAAAGCCACAGGUUGGGAAUCUGAUUUUUCUAAAUCAUAAAUAAUGUAUUUCAUCUGGCUUUUCUGAUCAGGGGUUUCAGCUCUAAAGGGCAUGCUGGGCAGAGCUGAUGGGCAGAACCAAAAAGAUAAGCCAUGUAAAUGACAUGAGCUGCAAAGAGGAUUUCAUCUUUUCUGGAAGGCGGGGGGAAUCCUUCAUCGAAUGUGUAAAAUUUCUUUAAUAACUAGACCUGGCAGGGAAAUGCAUGGAGUUCCUGCAGUGAUAAUCGGUGCUUCAGGUCUCUACAAUAGCCAGCAAACCAAAAGAUUUGUGUUUACCUAGUUCCUUCAGGAGGACUUGAACACAUGAAUGCAUUCGCGCCAAAUAAGGACACAUACAGAGGAAAAAAAAUCCA
RNAcentral lists this long non-coding RNA (662 nucleotides) under Cyanoderma ruficeps (rufous-capped babbler). RNAcentral describes it as "lncRNA (ENSCRFG00000014413.1)". Lineage: Eukaryota; Metazoa; Chordata; Aves; Passeriformes; Timaliidae. The record is from RNAcentral.